AGUGAACGCUGGCGGUAGGCCUAACACAUGCAAGUCGAACGGCAGCACAGUAAGAGCUUGCUCUUACGGGUGGCGAGUGGCGGACGGGUGAGGAAUACAUCGGAAUCUACUUUUUCGUGGGGGAUAACGUAGGGAAACUUACGCUAAUACCGCAUACGACCUACGGGUGAAAGCAGGGGAUCUUCGGGCCUUGCGCGAUUGAAUGAGCCGAUGUCGGAUUAGCUAGUUGGCGGGGUAAAGGCCCACCAAGGCGACGAUCCGUAGCUGGUCUGAGAGGAUGAUCAGCCACACUGGAACUGAGACACGGUCCAGACUCCUACGGGAGGCAGCAGUGGGGAAUAUUGGACAAUGGGCGCAAGCCUGAUCCAGCCAUACCGCGUGGGUGAAGAAGGCCUUCGGGUUGUAAAGCCCUUUUGCUGGGAAAGAAAAGCAGCAGGUUAAUACCCCGCUGUUCUGACGGUACCCAAAGAAUAAGCACCGGCUAACUUCGUG
RNAcentral lists this ribosomal RNA (492 nucleotides) under uncultured bacterium. RNAcentral describes it as "partial 16S ribosomal RNA". It matches the Rfam family "Bacterial small subunit ribosomal RNA", at positions 29 to 507 of the family's 1533-position model. The record is from RNAcentral.